This 422-nucleotide long non-coding RNA is filed under the name Mus spicilegus (steppe mouse). RNAcentral describes it as "lncRNA (ENSMSIG00000004515.1)". The record is from RNAcentral. Lineage: Eukaryota; Metazoa; Chordata; Mammalia; Rodentia; Muridae.
ACAGGGGAUGCUUGCAGAAUCAGUACCGAAGUCAGAAAUAGAUGGCCAGCAACGUGCAGGCGGAGUAGGAGAUGAUCAUUCAUUAGCCACGGUCUGCAUGGAGGAGAUUAUUCCUAGAAAUGAAAAUUUCCUUUGCUGUAAUCAAGAUGACUUCUGACAAGAUGGAGGAGCAGAAAAGCUGAUGAGUAGUCUUGAAGAAUUUGUGCAAUGGUCAAGUAUCCUCCUGUAGGUGGGUGAAGCACAGGCCAGAAGUCAGAAGCAACCCCGAAGACUUCCGGCUUUUCUUUUAAGAGCCUCAGAAAAGAGAUUAACUGGAGAAAGGCUUUAUCUCUGAUCCAGAUGUGAUACCGACUGAAGGGCUGGGAAGAAUGGUCUGUGCAUCUCUAGGAAGGUAUUUCUUUUUCUCUUCUUUGUAAAAACAU